This 422-nucleotide ribosomal RNA is filed under the name uncultured bacterium. RNAcentral describes it as "bacterial SSU rRNA". It matches the Rfam family "Bacterial small subunit ribosomal RNA", at positions 355 to 775 of the family's 1533-position model. The record is from RNAcentral.
UAGGGAAUAUUGGGCAAUGGCGGAGACGCUGACCCAGCCAUGCCGCGUGCAGGAAGAAGGCGCUACGCGUUGUAAACUGCUUUUUUUCGGGAAGAAAAAGCUUCUGCGGAAGUCACUGACGGUACCGAAGGAAUCAGCACCGGCUAACUCCGUGCCAGCAGCCGCGGUAAUACGGAGGGUGCAAGCGUUGUCCGGAUUCAUUGGGUUUAAAGGGUGCGCAGGCGGGCCAUUAAGUCAGGGGUGAAAGACGGUUGCUCAACAAUCGCAGUGCCUUUGAUACUGGUGGUCUUGGGUGACCGUGAGGUAGGCGGAAUGGGUGGUGUAGCGGUGAAAUGCAUAGAUACCACCCAGAACUCCGAUUGCGAAGGCAGCCUACUGGUGGUUUACCGACGCUCAGGCACGAAAGCGUGGGGAUCAAACAG